Molecule: non-coding RNA, 685 nt
Organism: Parasteatoda tepidariorum (common house spider)
Lineage: Eukaryota; Metazoa; Arthropoda; Arachnida; Araneae; Theridiidae
Source: RefSeq, a predicted model, not a curated record
GGGAAAUAUUCAUCCUGUAUAAAAUUGCGCACAUGUGGUAUCCCACGUUAGGAUUUAUACUCACUUCAGUCGUUAUAUUUAUUUCUGUUUUAGCUACAGGAUGGAAGAAGAAUGUGAUUCCAGCUGAUUCAAAGUGUUUAAGUCCUAUUCUAUGGAAGAAAUCGAAGCCACAAAAUGCCUGAAAUAAAAGAAGGGAAUUGAAUUGAAGGGAAAUGAACAUCACGUCACAUUUUCUCGAACUAAUUAGGUUACAUCAUGCCGUAGAGGAUGAUAUACAAAUCAAACUUUUAUUAAACCUUUGUGUAUUAUUGUGUAACAAGAUACAUAAUUACAUAUCGAAGCAUUUUGAAGAAGAGAAAAGACCCCUGAAAUCGUAACAUUUAACAAAGUUAUUCUACAGUAUCAAUACAUUAUGUUGAACUAUAUCGUUCAACCACUAUAAACAGAGACACUGAGCCAAGAUUCUGUUAUAUUGAACUAUAUUUUCCUUUAAACGAGCAAGGAGAGAUAGAAAUCUCCCAUAUAUCAACGAUGUCUCAAAAAUGUUGAUGUUACUCAGUGUUAUGAUUUAACAAAAGAAAAAAUUUUUUAAACAUUGAUUAAUAAAUUACUUUUAUAUCGAAAAGCACUUCAACACACUUUAAAAUUGCAAUUUUGGAAUAAAAUAAAAUAUAUUUGAUUUUUU